Molecule: long non-coding RNA, 2385 nt
Organism: Equus caballus (horse)
Lineage: Eukaryota; Metazoa; Chordata; Mammalia; Perissodactyla; Equidae
Source: RefSeq, a predicted model, not a curated record
CCACCCUACCCUCUCGAAAUAGGCGGGCGCGAAUGCCUUCCCAACGCUGAACCUAGUUCCACCUUUCCUCGGGAUUCCUCUAAGGGCUGGUUCCGAUCGGACACUUCCGGUGGAAGGACGGCUCUGCACCGCCUCAAGGCUUCCUUCCACAGAGACUUUUGAGUCUGCGCAGAAGACGGCCUGGCUUUGGACUACAAUUCCCAGAAGCCUCUUGGCUUUCUCAGCGCUCAGACUCUGUGUCCCUGGCGUUUUCACCGCUAUCCUAAAAUUCACAGACCUUGAAGGAGGAGGAGUCUUUUCUGCACUUUGUAGUAGUCAACUUGGCUCUGCUGCGCCCGUGCGGCCUGUCCUCAACUUCAGUCUGGGGCAGUGAAAUUGAAGCCCACGCAACAGGCAUGCAGCUCAAACUUCACCGUUGCAAAGCCUUUCUGGAUUUACGGGAAGCCUUUUCCCGAACCCUUGAUUCAUCCCCCAACUCCGAUGAAAAGCAGAUAUACAAAACGGGAUUAAGCAUAACCCUGGCUCAAGACGUCUAUGCCUGGCCCUAAAAUGUGAACAUUUUUUAAAAGAUUGGUCCUGAACCAAUAUCUGUUGCCAAUCUUUUUGUUUUCUUCUUCUCCUCAAAGCCGGCCAGUACAUAGUUGUAUAUUCUAGUUGUAGGUCCUUCUAUGAGCUGCCUCAGCGUGGCUUGUUGGGCAGUGCUAGGUUGGCGCCCAGGAUCCAAACCUGGGAAAACCUUGGGCGUGAAAGUGGAGGGCAGGGACUUAAUCACUGGUCCACUGCAGGCCCCAUCGAACACUGAUUCCAUUUCCCAACCUGGAAGAACUAGAACAUUCACAAUAACUUAGAUUUAUACUCUUUCUCUCCUCACUCUCCCUACCUCCUCUCAUCUGAGGUAACCACUGUUAACAAAUUUUGUGUUUAUCUUUCCCUUUUUAAAAAGAUAUUUCUAUUAGAUACGUAUGUAUGGGCAAACCAGUGUAUGGUUUUAGUUGUUUUUGAUGUAAAAGGCAUCACGUCAUAGACUAUCUGAUAUUUGCUUCUUUUCCUUCAACAAUGUUACUAAGGUUUAUCCGUAUUGUUGAAUUAAAAUUAGUUUUCACUACUGCAUAAUAUUCCAAUUGUGCAUAUCACAUUGCAUUCAACCAUUCUCCUAAAGAUGGGCCAAUACACUGUUAUCUCUAUAGACUAUUGUCUCUCUUCUGGAUUGCUGCCAUAACCUCUUAAGUGGUCCCUCUGCUUAUAUCUUUGUGUCCCCCACAGGCUGUUCUCAAUAGAGAAGCUGGAGUGGUACUGUUGAAGCAUAAGUUCUAUCAUGCUACUGAAGGGUAGAAGAAAUUACCUCCUCAAAAUAUACUGCUUUGAUAUGUUGAUGAUUUUGAGCUGUAGGCACUUAAAAAACAACAAAUGCAGAGAGAAGCUUUCUCUGAACUCCCCUCAUCCCUGCCUACAGACAGAUCUUCCAAAAAAGAGCAAAAUUGUCAUAAAUUCCCUCUCCUUGAGUUUCAUCAACCAGUCAAGAUCGACUCUUAUCAGAGUAUAGGAGACAUUGCACCCAGGCAAAUUUUGUCAUAAACUAUCAGACCUCCCAUUUAUUCUUCUAAGGGCCCAUUCAUCUUUCCUAAAAAUCAUUUACUCUCUUGUAGGAGGCCUGCAUUCACCCUCCUCUUUCCCUGUUAAUAUUGGAAUUCUAAAGCCAUUUCUUUAGUUACUCAUUUUUUUCUGUGUGUCUCCCAUGUAUACAUAAGGUAUACAGGUUAAUGAACUUCUGUUUAUUUUUCCCUGUUAAUUUGUCUUUUAUUAUGAGGAUUUCAGCUAAGAACUCAGAAAGGUAGAGGGAAAAUUACUUUUUCACCUCCUAUACUAGCCCUUUAAAACUUAAAGCCUUUAAAGCUUAAAACCUUUUAGUAGCUCCCUAUUUUAUUCAGGGUGAAACCCAAAGUCCUUAAAAUGGCUUAUAAGACCCUAUAUGAGCUGUACCCUAUGUAUCUCUUAUUACUCUCUCCUUUGCUCAUUCUGCUUCCUCAUCCCCAAUGGGCCUCCUCCUUCUCCCUGGAGUACAAAGGCAUGUUCUUGCUUAGGUCCACAGUUCCAGCUGUUUUCUCUGUCACAAGUAUGGGCUUGGCUAAAUUCCUCACUUUCUGCAGAUCUUUACUCAAGUCAUACCUCCUCAAUGAGACGUAUCUUGCCCCCUCACAUCCGUCUUCCCUGUUCUACUUUUUCAUGCUAUGUAAUUUAUUUUAUUUAUUAUGUCGAUUGCCUCAUAUGCUAGAAUGUACAAUAUUUGAAGUAAUGGUUCUUUUCUGUGUUGAUAACUACCAUAUCCAAACACCUAUAAUAAGGCCUGUCAUGAAAUAUACUCUCAAUAAAUAUUUGUCAAAUGAA